This 585-nucleotide ribosomal RNA is filed under the name Limosilactobacillus reuteri. RNAcentral's name for it is "Lactobacillus reuteri partial 16S ribosomal RNA". It matches the Rfam family "Bacterial small subunit ribosomal RNA", at positions 49 to 604 of the family's 1533-position model. The record is from RNAcentral. Lineage: Bacteria; Bacillati; Bacillota; Bacilli; Lactobacillales; Lactobacillaceae.
UCGUACGCACUGGCCCAACUGAUUGUUARUGCUUGCAUUAACUUGACGUUGGAUUCCCAGUGAGUGGCGGACGGGUGAGUAACACGUAGGUAACCUGCCCCGGAGCGGGGGAUAACAUUUGGAAACAGAUGCUAMUACCGCAUAACAACGAAGAUCGCAUGAUCUUCGUUUGAAAGAUGGCUUUGGCUAUCACUCUGGGAUGGACCUGCGGUGCAUUAGCUAGUUGGUGAGGUAAUAGCUCACCAAGGCKAUGAUGCAUAACCGAGUUGAGAGACUGAUCGGCCACAAUGGAACUGAGACACGGUCCAUACUCCUACGGGAGGCAGCAGUAGGGAAUCUUCCACAAUGGGCGCAAGCCUGAUGGAGCAACMCCGCGUGAGUGAAGAAGGGUUUCGGCUCGUAAAACUCUGUUGUUGGARAAGAACGUACCUGAGAGUAACUGUUCAKGUASUGACGGUAUCCAACCAGAAAGUCYGGCUAACUACGUGCCASCRSCCGCGGUAAUACGUAGGUGGCAAGCKUUAUCCKGAUUUAUUGKGCGUAAAGCGAGCGCAGGCGGUUGCUUAGGUCUGAUGUGAAAGCCUU